GGAGUUAGCCGGUGCUUCUUCUGUGAGUGAUGUCCUUCCUGCCGGCUAUUAACCCGCAGGCCUUCUUCCUCACUGAAAGUGCUUUACAACCCGAAGGCCUUCUUCACACACGCGGCAUGGCUGGAUCAGGGUUGCCCCCAUUGUCCAAUAUUCCCCACUGCUGCCUCCCGUAGGAGUCUGGGCCGUGUCUCAGUCCCAGUGUGGCUGAUCAUCCUCUCAGACCAGCUACGGAUCGUCGCCUUGGUGAGCCGUUACCUCACCAACCAGCUAAUCCGACAUAGGCUCAUCCGAUAGCGCGAGGCCCGAAGGUCCCCCGCUUUCCCCCGUAGGGCGUAUGCGGUAUUAGCCUGGGUUUCCCCAGGUUAUCCCCCACUACCGGGCAGAUUCCUAUGCAUUACUCACCCGUCCGCCGCUCGCCUACCAGGGAGCAAGCUCCCCGUGCUGCCGCUCGACUUGCAUGUGUUAGGCCUGCCGCCAGCGUUCAAUCUGAGCCAUAAUCAAACUCUGA
This 508-nucleotide ribosomal RNA is filed under the name uncultured bacterium. Its description in RNAcentral is "partial 16S ribosomal RNA". The record is from RNAcentral.